This 418-nucleotide long non-coding RNA is filed under the name Bos taurus (domestic cattle). RNAcentral describes it as "long non-coding RNA NONBTAT020338". Lineage: Eukaryota; Metazoa; Chordata; Mammalia; Artiodactyla; Bovidae. The record is from RNAcentral.
GGGUAGAAUUGCACUGCAGCUUUAUACAAAGGUAAGAAUAAUACUCUAAAUUUGGUCUCAUACCCAAUUAACUGUGAUAUGACAUAACAGUAUCGCUUUUGAUAACACAUUUUGUUUACAAUCCAUCCUAAAAUGUAAGUUAGCUUACUUAAUCUUUAGAAAAGUUAUCACUAUUAAGUUAAUUAAGUUCGGAAUAAUACUAAUUUAUCCUAAACAGUCUGACAGUGCUAAAAAGUCUAAAAUAGACAUGACUUGAGAGAAGUUCAAUUGAGAUUUUACAUCUUUUCAUAAAGCUAGCUUUUAAGUAUUAAUAUAUGUUAAAUGUAUAUAUUAUAUGUAAACUAACAACUGAUUCUUCUUAAUAGCAAUAACAGUAAUUUUGAUCCAGAUCUUUUGUUCAUACCAGUAUUUGAACACU